CCUACGGGAGGCAGCAGUGGGGAAUAUUGGACAAUGGGCGAAAGCCUGAUCCAGCAAUGCCGCGUGUGUGAAGAAGGCCUUCGGGUUGUAAAGCACUUUAAGUUGGGAAGAAAAAGCUCUGGCUAAUAUCUAGAGCCUUGACGGUACCAACAGAAUAAGCACCGGCUAACUCUGUGCCAGCAGCCGCGGUAAUACAGAGGGUGCUAGCGUUAAUCGGAUUUACUGGGCGUAAAGCGUGCGUAGGCGGUUUGAUAAGUCGAUUGUGAAAGCCCCGGGCUUAACCUGGGAAUUGCAGUUGAUACUGUCAGACUAGAAAACGGUAGAGGGAGGCGGAACUCCAGGUGUAGCGGUGAAAUGCGUAGAUAUCUGGAAGAACACCGAUGGCGAAGGCAACCUCCUGGGCCUGUUUUGACGCUGAGGCACGAAAGCGUGGGUAGCAAACAGGAUUAGAUACCCUGGUAGUCCACGCCGUAAACGAUGAGAACUUGACGUUGGUUUGCUUAGCAAAUCGGUGUCGUAGCUAACGCGAUAAGUUCUCCGCCUGGGGAGUACGGCCGCAAGGUUGAAAACUCAAAAGUAGUAAGUCGGACGCGAGAGAGCGACGACGACGACGAGAGGAGGAGG
Molecule: ribosomal RNA, 624 nt
Filed under: uncultured bacterium
Lineage: Bacteria
Description: bacterial SSU rRNA
Rfam family: Bacterial small subunit ribosomal RNA
Source: RNAcentral